This 426-nucleotide ribosomal RNA is filed under the name uncultured bacterium. RNAcentral describes it as "partial 16S ribosomal RNA". It matches the Rfam family "Bacterial small subunit ribosomal RNA", at positions 354 to 796 of the family's 1533-position model. The record is from RNAcentral.
GUGAGGAAUUUUCCGCAAUGGGCGAAAGCCUGACGGAGCAAUGCCGCGUGAAGGAUGAAGGCCUAUGGGUUGUAAACUUCUUUUCUCAGAAAAGAAUUAUGACGGUAUCUGAGGAAUAAGCAUCGGCUAACUCUGUGCCAGCAGCCGCGGUAAGACAGAGGAUGCAAGCGUUAUCCGGAAUGAUUGGGCGUAAAGCGUCUGUAGGUUGUUUAAAAAGUAUUCUGUCAAAGAUUAGGGCUUAACCCUAGAUAGGCAGAAUAAACUUUUAAGAUAGAGUUUGGUAGAGGCAGAGGGAAUUCCCGGUGAAGCGGUGAAAUGCGUAGAUAUCGGGAGGAACCCCAAAGGCGAAGGCACUCUGCUGGGCCAAUACUAACACUGAGAGACGAAAGCGAGGGGAGCAAAUGGGAUUAGAAACCCGUGUAGUCC